RNAcentral lists this ribosomal RNA (715 nucleotides) under Pediococcus acidilactici. RNAcentral's name for it is "bacterial SSU rRNA". It matches the Rfam family "Bacterial small subunit ribosomal RNA", at positions 46 to 745 of the family's 1533-position model. Lineage: Bacteria; Bacillati; Bacillota; Bacilli; Lactobacillales; Lactobacillaceae. The record is from RNAcentral.
GAUGACGGCUUGCGCCUGGAUUGGUUUUUGUCGCCAACGAGUGGGGGAGACGUGAGUGUAACACGUGUAAUAACCUGACCAAAGCAGGAGAUAACACCUGGCAACUGAUGCUAAUACCGUAUAACGUAGAAAACCGCCUGGUUUUCUUUUAAAUGAUGGCUCUGCUAUCCUUCUGGAUGGACCCGCGGCGCUUUAGCUGGUUGGUGAGGUAACGGCUCCCAGGCGAUGAUGCGUAGCCGACCUGAAAGGGGAAUCGGCCACAUUGGGACUGAGACACGGCCAUAACUCCUACGGGAGGCAGCAGUAGGGAAUCUUCCACAAUGGACGCAAGUCUGAUGGAGCACACCCGCGUGAGUGAAGAAGGGUUUCGGUUCGUAAAGCUCUGUUGUUAAAGAAGAACGUGGGUGAAAGUAACUGUUCACCCUUUGACGGUAUUUAACCAAAAAGCCACGGGCUAACUACUUGCCAGCAGCCGCGGGUAAUACGUAGGGUGGCAAGCGUUAUCCGGGAUUUAUUGGGGCGUAAAGCGAGCGCAGGCGGGUCUUUUUAAGUCUAAUGUGAAAGCCUUUCGGCUCAACCGGAAGAAAGUGCAUUGGAAACUGGGAAGACUUGAGUGCAGAAGAGGACAGUGGAACUCCAUGUGUAGCGGUGGAAUGCGUAGAUAUAUGGAAGAACACCAGUUGGCGAAGGCGGCUGUCCUGGUCUGUAACUGACG